GUGCCAGCAGCCGCGGUAACACGUAGGCACCAAGCGUUGUCCGGAUUUAUUGGGCGUAAAGAGCUCGUAGGCGGUUCAGUAAGUCGGGUGUGAAAACUUUGGGCUUAACCCAAAGCGUGCAUCCGAUACUGCUGUGACUUGAGUACGGUAGGGGAGCGGGGAAUUCCUAGUGUAGCGGUGAAAUGCGCAGAUAUUAGGAGGAACACCGGUGGCGAAGGCGCCGCUCUGGGCCGAAACUGACGCUGAGGAGCGAAAGCAUGGGUAGCAAACAGGAUUAGAUACCCUGGUAGUCCAUGCCGUAAACGUUGGGCACUAGGUGUGGGUUCCAACCAACGGAAUCCGCGCCGUCGCUAACGCAUUAAGUGCCCCGCCUGGGGAGUACGGCCGCAAGGUUAAA
This 397-nucleotide ribosomal RNA is filed under the name uncultured bacterium. RNAcentral's name for it is "bacterial SSU rRNA". It matches the Rfam family "Bacterial small subunit ribosomal RNA", at positions 505 to 898 of the family's 1533-position model. The record is from RNAcentral.